GAUGAACGCUGGCGGCGUGCCUAAUACAUGCAAGUCGAGCGAACGGACGAGAAGCUUGCUUCUCUGAUGUUAGCGGCGGACGGGUGAGUAACACGUGGAUAACCUACCUAUAAGACUGGGAUAACUUCGGGAAACCGGAGCUAAUACCGGAUAAUAUUUUGAACCGCAUGGUUCAAAAGUGAAAGACGGUCUUGCUGUCACUUAUAGAUGGAUCCGCGCUGCAUUAGCUAGUUGGUAAGGUAACGGCUUACCAAGGCAACGAUGCAUAGCCGACCUGAGAGGGUGAUCGGCCACACUGGAACUGAGACACGGUCCAGACUCCUACGGGAGGGAGCAGUAGGGAAUCUUCCGCAAUAGGCGAAAGCAUGACGGAGCAACGCCGCGUGAGUGAUGAAGGUCUUCGGAUCGUAAAACUCUGUUAUUAGGGAAGAACAUAUGUGUAAGUAACUGUGCACAUCGUGACGGUACCUAAUCAGAAAGCCACGGCUAACUACGUG
RNAcentral lists this ribosomal RNA (497 nucleotides) under uncultured bacterium. RNAcentral's name for it is "partial 16S ribosomal RNA". It matches the Rfam family "Bacterial small subunit ribosomal RNA", at positions 28 to 507 of the family's 1533-position model. The record is from RNAcentral.